Molecule: ribosomal RNA, 477 nt
Filed under: Candidatus Scalindua brodae
Lineage: Bacteria; Pseudomonadati; Planctomycetota; Candidatus Brocadiia; Candidatus Brocadiales; Candidatus Scalinduaceae
Description: bacterial SSU rRNA
Rfam family: Bacterial small subunit ribosomal RNA
Source: RNAcentral
UUCGCAAUGCCCGAAAGGGUGACGAAGCGACGCCGCGUGGGUGAGGAAGGCCUUCGGGUUGUAAAGCCCUGUCAGGAGUUAAGAAAUGUAAGUGCGCUAAUAUCGCAUUUAUUUGACGAAGGCUCCAAAGGAAGUCACGGCUAACUCUGUGCCAGCAGCCGCGGUAAUACAGAGGUGGCAAGCGUUGUUCGGAAUUAUUGGGCGUAAAGAGCACGUAGGUGGAUUUGUAAGUCAGAUGUGAAAGCCUUCUGUUCAACGGAAGAAUUGCAUCUGAAACUGCGAGUCUUGAGUGUAGGAGGGGAGAAUGGAACUUCUGGUGGAGCGGUGAAAUGCGUAGAUAUCAGAAGGAACGCCGGCGGCGAAAGCGAUUCUCUGGCCUAUUACUGACACUCAGUGUGCGAAAGCUAGGGGAGCAAACGGGAUUAGAUACCCCGGUAGUCCUAGCCGUAAACGAUGGGCACUAAGUAGAGGGGUUUU